This 497-nucleotide ribosomal RNA is filed under the name uncultured bacterium. Its description in RNAcentral is "partial 16S ribosomal RNA". It matches the Rfam family "Bacterial small subunit ribosomal RNA", at positions 28 to 507 of the family's 1533-position model. The record is from RNAcentral.
GAUGAACGCUGGCGGCGUGCCUAAUACAUGCAAGUCGAGCGAACAGACGAGGAGCUUGCUCCUCUGACGUUAGCGGCGGACGGGUGAGUAACACGUGGAUAACCUACCUGUAAGACUGGGAUAACUUCGGGAAACCGGAGCUAAUACCGGAUAAUAUAUUGAACCGCAUGGUUCAAUAGUGAAAGACGGUUUUGCUGUCACUUAUAGAUGGAUCCGCGCCGCAUUAGCUAGUUGGUAAGGUAACGGCUUACCAAGGCAACGAUGCGUAGCCGACCUGAGAGGGUGAUCGGCCACACUGGAACUGAGACACGGUCCAGACUCCUACGGGAGGCAGCAGUAGGGAAUCUUCCGCAAUGGGCGAAAGCUUGACGGAGCAACGCCGCGUGAGUGAUGAAGGUCUUCGGAUCGUAAAACUCUGUUAUUAGGGAAGAACAAAUGUGUAAGUAACUAUGCACGUCUUGACGGUACCUAAUCAGAAAGCCACGGCUAGCUACGUG